UAUUUUUUUUUAUUCUGAAUAUUUUAUGUAAUAUAAAAGAAAAUUUAGAGGAAAAACCUUCUUUUAUAUAGCACACCCAUGCUGAUGUUAAACUACAAAAAAACCAAUUUUAGAACUUUGGGCGUGAAGUAAUACAGCGAUAUGAAAUCUUUUGAGAAGAAAGUAUAAUAAAUAAAGGAAAUAGCAAGUUUGGAAAGCAAUAUGAUAUUUUCCUGUAGAGAUAACAGUAUACAUAAUGUUCGUAGUACACGUAAGACAUGUUACGAAUACCUGACACGAGUUUAGUCUCCACACAUCUUUUUGCAGAGGAGGAAAUGAUGGUGAUCUCGGACAAAGGUACUUAAUUGGAAAAGGAAGUGACUGGUGAGGCUUAAUCUUUGAGCAAGGGUUAAAUGUGACGCAGGAAGUUGUAAUAGGCAUUGAGAAACAAAGGCUUGAGAUAAAUGAAGGCUUAUAUAAAACAGUUCAGCCUUGUCUACAACUACAACUUUGAAACUAAACAAAAAAUAAAAACCAUCAGGUUGGGUUGGCCAUCGGGCUCCCAAUUUUCCUUAUUUACAAGAAAUUUGAAAAGCAAUGGCAAGAGUUUUUGUGACAUUCGGAACAUUUAUUUGAAUUAGACCUAUCUACAGGGUGAUACAAGUACCAGUUCACAGACACAACAGAAGAUAUGGAUAUAGUUUAAUUAAACAGUUAUCAAGGUCAAUAUAAAAUGUUGCCACUAAAGCGUAAGGCAUGAUAAUUAAUUAAUAAUAGGAAGGUCUGUAGGAAACGUCAACGAACAAGAACCAAAUUUAGGUGUAAUAGUUCAACAGUUAAUAAGCACUAGAAAGGUAUGUUUGACCUAGUAGAAAGAAAAAUGAAAGAAGUCCCUCAAAUGAAUUUGGUGGAUUUAAAGAUUUUUAUAGACGAUUCUAUGAAUCUCUGUGACCUAAUUGUUAAAACAAAGAAAGCUUACAAAGUGAUUAUAAUUUUUUGUAUCAUUCUUCUGAGACUUUUCUAAGUCAUGCAUUUUUUUUUAAUUCUCUGUACCUCUAUUUCUUCAUUUGUCUUCCAUAUUGUCUUCAUUCUAUGAAAUUUAUUAUUUCUAUGUAUAUACUUUUUAUUUUGUUUCUAAAUCCAUUUAAAAUUGGGUUUUUGGAUGGGAUAUUGUACUACUUUGGAUUUUUUGGGACAGCUGCACUUCAACCACACUCUUCAAGAUGCCGUUAGGUUGAUUAAAUUCAACAAUCAACAGUGAAAUGAGAAUAGAAUUCAUCAUUGAAGAGGAACUAAAUAUCUUUAGGUAAAUUAUAUUAAAGAUUGUUUUUUAAAUCAAAUAUAUUAUCAAUUAAUUUCGCCAGCGAAAUUGCCACGGCCAAAAAUGCUGCACUUCGCGAAGCAGGAGCUCGCGUACUGGAGUCCUUCGAUUACUUAGGCGCGUUAUAUUAAUACUACAACACCACACACUCCUUCCCCACUCACACGAGCAUUGCUAGCUCUCUGUGUUGGUUAAUAAAAUUUCCUAAUUCAACAUUAGUGAAUUUCGUUAGCUGAUGCGGUUGGUUAACAGUGUUUUUGUCGGUGUGGAUUCCCGGGCUUAAGAUGACUCCAGAGCGCGGCGCGGCCUUCCCCAAGAGAGGAGACUUCUUGGGUCACCCCCUAACUCUGAUGUUCGGGCAUCGAUGACCUGUGUAGCAUGCAGAGGUACCCAAGGGAGUCACCACCCUCUGGUUUACGAGCUAGGUGUUCUAAU
Molecule: long non-coding RNA, 1735 nt
Organism: Sitophilus oryzae (rice weevil)
Lineage: Eukaryota; Metazoa; Arthropoda; Insecta; Coleoptera; Curculionidae
Exons: 7
Source: RefSeq, a predicted model, not a curated record